Molecule: ribosomal RNA, 505 nt
Filed under: uncultured bacterium
Lineage: Bacteria
Description: partial 16S ribosomal RNA
Source: RNAcentral
GGAGUUAGCCGGUGCUUCUUCUGCGAGUAACGUCACAGAUGUAAGGUAUUAACUUACACCCUUUCCUCCUCGCUGAAAGUGCUUUACAACCCGAAGGCCUUCUUCACACACGCGGCAUGGCUGCAUCAGGGUUUCCCCCAUUGUGCAAUAUUCCCCACUGCUGCCUCCCGUAGGAGUCUGGGCCGUGUCUCAGUCCCAGUGUGGCUGAUCAUCCUCUCAGACCAGCUAGGGAUCGUCGCCUAGGUGAGCCUUUACCUCACCUACUAGCUAAUCCCACCUGGGCUUAUCCAUCAGCGCAAGGCCCGAAGGUCCCCUGCUUUCCCCCGUAGGGCGUAUGCGGUAUUAGCAGUCGUUUCCAACUGUUAUCCCCACAAAUGGGCAAAUUCCCAGGCAUUACUCACCCGUCCGCCGCUCGUCAUCUUCAAAAGCAAGCUUUUGAAAUGUUACCGCUCGACUUGCAUGUGUAGCUGCCGCCAGCGUCAUCUGAGCAUAAUACAACUACUGA